AUCUGCCCCCCAAGGGUGCAGCAUGGACCUCCUGAUCCACCCCAUUACCCCACAUCUGACCCACCUGGCACCCCACAUCUGACCCCAUUGGGUUCAGCAGGGUCCUCGUGCCCCACCCAUACCCUAUAUCCAACUUACUGGGGUGCAGCAGGGUCCGCCUGACCCAUCCUGCACCCCACAUCUAUCCCCACUGGGAUGCUGCAGUGUCUGCCUGACCUCAUACACCACAUCUGACCCUAUUGGGGUGCAGCACAGUCCUAACCCACCUCGUACCCACAUCUGACCCCACUGUGGUGUUGCAGGAUACUCCUAACCCACUCUGUGCCCCACAUCUGACCCCUUUGGGGUGCAGCACAGCCCUCCUGACCCACCCCACACCCCACGUUUGACCCUAUUGGGGUGCUGCAGGCUCUUACUGACCCCAUGUCUCCCAACUGACCCCAUACCCUCCAUCUGACACCUCAGGGCUGCAGGGUGGCACUGGGUUGUGCUCUGUGCGCUUGCGGCAGCUCACAUCUACCCUCACCUCACAUCCCCCUGAUUUGGAGACCCCUCUGGAGGGGACAUGAAGGGGAAUUUAAUCCGAGCCCUAUCCGACCCCACAGCCCAGGUUUGGGGCAGCACCCCCACCUCUGAUCCACCCCCAUCCCCACCGACACAAGCAGAGCAUUUGCACACAAAGCCACAGCCCACCAGAUCCCCCCCAAAACCCCACAGCUGAGCGGGCCCCCCCCCAUUCCAGGAGCCCUAUGGGGGGGGGGUCUCAGACCCCAAUCCCCUCCUCCCCCCCAGGACUGGGGACGUGCACAGGGCUCCGGCUGAGUGUGGCUCUGAGUCACGUCGGCAUUUGGCAGCGGUGCGAGGAGCGGCGUUGCCAGGCUGGAAAAGAUGACGGGCGCUGCGAUGGGGCGGGGGCACCGCGCUAUGGGGUGAUGUGGAGCCGCACAGCGGGACGUGGAACUGCUCACACCUCAAUAUCCCUAUGGGGGGGAACUAACGGUCCCACUGCCGGUGCUGGAAGCCCUGAAGUAGCCACCAACAGCUGCAGGGGUUGCACGGAGGGGCAUGGAGAGCAGCGUGGCACUGCAGGCGCAUUGCACUGCAUUGGGAGCGCCUCAGCCCCGCAGCAGCUACCCGUUGGCAGGGGCUGCUCAGCCUUCACCUGCACUCGUUUGCAAUGGGUGCAGCAGCAGAGCCCUGUGGGGAUCCCAGUGAUGGUUGUGGGGUGGGGGUGCACUGCAGUCCCACCACUGGGGCUCAAAUUGAGCCCUCCUGGACGGUUCUGCAGGGCUGUAAGCCUACAGUCAUCACUCACAAUGUCUUAUUUAUUUGGGGAGGGGGGGGGUUGGCCCCUUAGUUCUUCCCAGGUGUUAAUUAGGCAGAAGGUGUCAGCAGCAGAUGGUGAUGAUGGGCACACGGAGGCACAGACAACAGCUGCUGAUGGCUCUGAGCUCCAAAGCUGCAGCCAUGGGGGUCAAAUGGGGUGGGGGUGCAGCACAAAGGGGUGGAGGGUGAGCGGGGGGGGGACGGGGACCACAGCCACACAGCAGUGUGGUAAAGGAGCAGACAGGAGACGGUUCCAGCCAUCCAUCCUCGCACAAGUGGGGAAACUGAGGCAGGAGGGCAGCAGGAAACGUGUGGCCAAGCGAUGCUGCUGGUCCACGGCCGAGCUCAGGUGUGGGCAAAGAAAAGCGGUGCCGUUUAAUGGGCACAGAGAGCGAACGGCCUCGGCUGGCGUCCCAGGGGUGAGCACUGACAGAGCCUCAUUACUCCGGCAGCACCGCGAUUCGGGGGAGGUCAACAGCGCUGCGGAUCCACCGCGAUUGAGGCCUCGUCCCCCCGGGCAGUGCGGAACGGCAGCACGAGGAGGGGAGGUGGUGGGCAGCCCGAGCUCCGCUCUGCGUGAUGGAGCGAUGAGGGCUUUGUGUGCUCUCGGAUCGGUGCCACGAAGAUGUGGUGGCGUUGGGGGGGGGGACGACGACACUGAGUGCCUCCCCCCGUGUUGUUGUCCGGAACUGCAGGCGGCUGGAAGCAUCCAGCAGUUGGUGGGGGAAGGUGGGAGGGCAGAAGGAUGUGCAGGGAUGGAGGGGGCGUGGGGCAGGAAUGGAUGCAAUGCAGGAGGAGAUGCAGUGCAUGGCAGGAGGGUACGGGUGGGACAUGGUGCAGGAUGGGAUGCAGUGUAGGAGAGGAUCUGGUGGAGGGGAUGCAGUGCAAGGGAGGACAAAGUGCAGGAAGGGAUGCAGUGCAGGAGGGGAUGCAGCACAGAGGGGAGCAGUGCUGGAGGGAGUGUGGUGCAGGGCAGAACACGGUGCAGGAACGUGGUGCAGGAUGGGAUGUGGUGCAGGAGGGGAUGCAAUGAAGGAAGGGAGGGGUGCAGGAGGGGACGUGGUGGUGGUGGGGAUGCAGUGCAGGAGGGGAUGAGGUGCAGGAGAGCAGUGCAAGGCAGAACAGUGCAGCACGGGAUGCAGUGCAGGAAGGGACGCAGGGCAGGACGUGGUGCAGGAGGGGAUGCGGUGCAGAAAUGGAUGCAGCGCAGGAUUGGAUGCAGUGCAGGAGGGAAGGAAGUGAUUUCUCAUUCCGAGCCCAAUUCCUCUCCACCAUGAGCCGAUUUUUCUCUCCCUCUUUUAAUUCAGUCACUCAAGCUGACAGCUACACUGUGUACCACAGCCCCGCUACAGGAUUGCUCUGCCAUAUUUCCCCUGUAAAUCUCCCGGCGUUGUCAGCUCUCCCUUUCACUCUCCAGCCGCCCUGAUAAAUAUUCAUUUUAUUGGGGGUAUUUUUCAUCUCUCUCCCUCUCCCUGCAGCUCGUUCCCCUCAUUGGCUUCAUCAGCGUGGGGCUGGGCAGCGCUGUGCUGUACCUGCUCAGGUUGGCACUGUACAGCCCCGACAUCAGUUCAUAGCGGUUUCCACCGACUACAAGAACCUCAAGAAGGAGCGGCCCAGCUUCUGAGCAGCCCCAUGCAGCUGCCCUGCAACCCCCUCCUCCCACGUUGUGCUCCUUGUUCCCCCCCAGCUCACACCUCCUGCAUGAACCGGGCAGCAAUAAAUUCCCAGGGGGGUGCA
Lagopus muta (rock ptarmigan) is the source of this 3063-nucleotide RNA transcript. It is a transcript of the gene named NDUFA4 mitochondrial complex associated like 2, with no coding region annotated. Lineage: Eukaryota; Metazoa; Chordata; Aves; Galliformes; Phasianidae. The record is from RefSeq and is a predicted model, not a curated record. The transcript has 2 exons.